This 120-nucleotide ribosomal RNA is filed under the name Salmo salar (Atlantic salmon). The record is from RNAcentral. Lineage: Eukaryota; Metazoa; Chordata; Actinopteri; Salmoniformes; Salmonidae.
GCUUACGGCCAUACGCAGCCUGGGUACGCCCGAUCUCGUCUGAUCUCGGAAGCUAAGCAGGGUCGGGCCUGGUUAGUACUUGGAUGGGAGACCGCCUGGGAAUACCAGGUGCUGUAAGCA